RNAcentral lists this long non-coding RNA (1188 nucleotides) under Anser cygnoides (Swan goose). RNAcentral describes it as "lncRNA (ENSACDG00005004370.1)". Lineage: Eukaryota; Metazoa; Chordata; Aves; Anseriformes; Anatidae. The record is from RNAcentral.
AACGGGGAGCAAACCCAUCGCCCCCCUCAGGGGGCGGCGGAGCGCUCCCCCGUCAGGGGCGGAGAGCUCCCCUCAGGGCCGCAGAGCGCAGGCCCCGCCGCCGGCCGCCUCCGCCCGCCCNNNNNNNNNNNNNNNNNNNNAGGGGCGGCGAGGCGGGUAUGGGGGAGCGGGGAGGCGGGAGGGGGCUUUCUUGGGGGUGAAAUAGAGGCGGUUUCAGGGGUUUGGGGCGCUGCGUGGCUCGGAGGGGGGUUUAUUGCCUCAGAGAGGGGGUCUUUUACCUCAGAAGGGGGCUUUUUCUCUCAGAGGGGGGGGGCUUAUUCCCUCAAAGAGUGGGUUUAUUCCCUCAGGGAGGGGUUUAUUCCCUCAGACGGGGGUCUUUUUCCCUCAGAGAAGGGCUUUUUCCCUCAGAAGGGGGGGCUUUUUCCCUCAGAGAGGGGGGCGUUUUCCCUCAGAGAGGGGGGCGUUUUCCCUCAGAGAGGGGGGCGUUUUCCCUCAGAGGGCUGCUUUCCCCUCACAGGCGCUGCCCUCCUCCCCCGCGGUGCCCGCCGAGGCGUGAAGGCUCCGAUCUCUCUGUGGUGUUUUGUUCUUUUUUUUUUUUUAAAUUUAAAUUUUUAUUUUUUAUUAUUAUUUUUGAGGGUGGGGUCGCUUCCACCACGCCAGGUGCGGGGCCCUGCCGGGGGGUCAGGGCUGGGCGAGGAGAGGCCUCGCAGCGCCGGGGGAGCGCCGUGCCGCCGCCCCCUUCCCUCCCUCCUGCCCCCUUCCCUCCCCGUCCCUGCCCCUAUUUCAUCCCCUUCCCUGCCCCUGUCUCAUCCCCUUCCCUGCCCCCUAUUUAAAGCUGGCCCCGCGGCAGCCCUGGCUUCGGAGAGCUGGCCCCCGGGGAAGGCGCGGAGAUGCAGGUAUUCCCCAGCUUUACACCAUCUCGGGCCUCUUCCCAGCGCCAGGAAUGCGGCUGGGGCUGUUUGGAGUCAUUCUGCCGAAAUAAAGCGUAUAGGCUUCUGCUUGCCUGUGGCUUGCGAUGGUGUUUUUGCGGGUGAUUUUCAUUUUUUUCCUCCGCGCUGGAGCGAUCGGGAGGCAAACCAGCAAUUAUUUCUGGUGUCGCUGCCAAAACCUUCCUGUCUUCUUCAGCGCUGCUCAGGGAGAGGAGUUCUCGUGCUGAGUUGGUUUGUUUCUUUCUGUUUUGGUAGAUAA